GCUUUCGUGGUGUAGUGGUCAGUACGCUGGGCACGUAUUCCAGAGGCCCGUGGUUCGAGUCCCGGCGAAGACG
This 73-nucleotide transfer RNA is filed under the name Stegodyphus mimosarum. It matches the Rfam family "tRNA". Rfam says of the family: Transfer RNA (tRNA) molecules are approximately 80 nucleotides in length. Their secondary structure includes four short double-helical elements and three loops (D, anti-codon, and T loops). Lineage: Eukaryota; Metazoa; Arthropoda; Arachnida; Araneae; Eresidae. The record is from Rfam by way of RNAcentral.